Molecule: long non-coding RNA, 5204 nt
Organism: Cavia porcellus (domestic guinea pig)
Lineage: Eukaryota; Metazoa; Chordata; Mammalia; Rodentia; Caviidae
Exons: 6
Source: RefSeq, a predicted model, not a curated record
UGAGAAAUGUGCAUUCAUGAGAUUAACUUUUGCUCCUUCAUCUUCACAUUCUUGUGGGUUCCUCCCGACAGUUGUGUUGUUUCAGGCACUUUCCUCAUUGGCUGCCCUUCUACAGUGUAAGGGAAUGGGACAGGCAUCUGGGUUUCUCCAAACCCUUGUUCCCAGGGAGGUAACAGGAUUGUGAAGACACAGUUUAUAAAGACAAAUUGAGAAGACUUCUGUAGGAAACAAAGAGAAUUGGAGCUCCCCUGCCUAAGAACCAUGCUUACUCUGAGACUGUUUACUUGCUGAUGCUAGUCUUUGGGCAACAGUGACCUUCCUCACUGAUCACAGCUUGUGUCAAAUAUUCUAUCCUGCCAUCCCUAAAUGGAGAUACCAGUUUUCAUGCACUUUGGAAUUAUUACUGUUUAUUGCCUGAGCAACACAUUUUCAUUUUGCCUGGAGUAUCCUGUCUUACGGGACCUUGUUGACCUAGGAGCUUGCUGUGCAACCUCUACUGGAAACACUCACUGGCUCUCUUGUUGGCUCCAAAGCUCAUGUGGAGCAGUUGAACUACACAAGCAGCAUGACCCACUUCUGAGUGUUCUCCCAUAUUGCAUGGGUUGAACACUUUGAUGACACCUCUCCUCUUGACGUACACUAUUCUCUCAUCCAUGCACCUCAGCAGCCUCCACAAUCAUAGAGAAAGGAGCUGCCUAACAGGAGAUCACAGCGAGAAUGGUGAGUAAACUCUUUGCUUCUCUCUUUGCUGAGAGAAAUGGCGAAACACAUCACUGUGUUGCCAUAUGACCCUGGCAGAGUCUUUGCCUAGAACAGCCAACUAGCUGUGUUUCCUGAGGACAGAAAAGAUUUAUGUGACACAUGACCUUCUGCUGUUUUCCCUCUGUCAAAGACAAAAUUACAUACAACAAAUUUAGCUUAAAGAUCUCAAUUGGCUUUUAUUUCAUCCUAAUUAAGCAACACUUCCUUCUAUAAAACAGAGUGAGGGCCCCCAAGAGACAAGCUGAGGAGCUGGAUGUACAGACAGGAAGGGGCUGAGGGGAAGCAACCACAAAGAACAAAAGGAAAAGCCGUCAUUUCGUAAAAGGUUAAAAUGCAAGAAUGUCCCAAAAUAGGCAUUUUAAGAAGUUUGGCUCUUUUCUUUCUCUUAUACUUCUUGAAAGUUUACAAAGACAAAGCUAUUCAGUUUUGUCUUUAAACCUCAGUGUGAAUAGUUUCAUUUUGUUCUAUUUUGACUGAUAUAGGAGCUCUUUAAAAAUAAUUCAUGUAUACAUUUAUGAUUGUUGUGGACUACUGAGGAUUGAACCCAGCUCCUGGCACUUGCUUAGUAAGUACUCUUGGUCAGUGAGUGACAAUAAUGAUUCUGCUUCUAUGAAUUUUGCUUAUAUCUUUGCAGUUAGGCAGUAAUACACAUACAGCAUUUUGCUUCAUGGAAUUUUUGAAGGCAUCUAAACUAAGAUUUCUUCUGACAACAUAGUUAAGAGCAGAGAUUCUGACUGAAUAGGACAGAACAUAAGUUCAUUGUCUAACUAGAAAGCCUUACUGUCCUUGCUUUUUCUCUUUUUUAAAUUGUAUCAGUUAAGAGGAUUCAAAUACAUAUGUAAGGCAUUUCCAGAUUUUAGAAUUCUACUGAUAUUUGGACAUUUGCAAGAAGGUCUGUCUCUCAUUGGUAGGUUAAAAUGAUACUUUUCUUGUUAUUUUAUAAUAGCAUACUAGAAACACCAACAGAACAACUUCCUAUAACUGAGUAACAUCAAGAUUAUGGAAGAGUAUAAUUUGCAAGUUAAAAAAAUAGAUAUGGGUAAUAAUACUAAUGAAAUGUUUUUAAUGAUUUUCAUCUUUUUUAAAAUCUAUUUUCUUUUUUGGUACUGGGAAUUUCAACCCUACCCCUAAGGCCUGGUGCCACUAAUAAUACAUUUAACUGUAUGAUAGAUCUAGACUUCUGUGAUGACUUUUUUCCCCCAAGAAUGACUUCAAAUCUUCUUUUUUAUUCUGUACAGCUUAGGAAAGAACUUUUCAAAUUCCAUAAGAAGUUUUUAUGCAACUUUAGGCAAUGUAGCUUUUUUCCCGUUUCCUGCUUUAAUGUGUAAACUCGCAUUCAUUUUAUUUCAGGAUCAUUUUCAGGAGCUGCAUGGUACCAAAGGCCAUAAAGAUGCAGAGCAGAUAGACACUAAAGAGAAAGGGUAGACACACAAGAAGGUGAAACACCAGGCUCCGUCCAAACUGUGUCAGUGACUGCAUGCAGUCAGUUCUGCUUUACCAUUCUCUGGCUAAACGCUUAGUAUGGCACCUUAUGUAUUGGGGAUUAUUUGUAGCUUUGGCAUUUCUACUCAGAGUUAAUAUUCUCUUAAGGAGUUCUGGUCUUUCUUUAAACAUUUCAGAAUGAUAGAUGUAUUACAAGACAUGACCAAUUUUAGUAAAAAUCAUGGUCAUCCUUGAAGACUAAAUUCAUAAAAGUUUCACGUCUUCAAAUUCCACUCCUUAACUCUGAGGCAGAAACUGUGAGAAACAUUUUGGUCGUUUUCAUGUGAGAUUCAUCAUCACUCUUGUUCUUAUUAACAAAGUUAUGAAAGGACUUUGGAUGGUAUUUAUGAGUAACAUAAAGAAAUACUUCCUUUAAAUUAACCUAAAAUAUAUGGCUGUGUCAUUCGGUAACUGUAUGUUUAUAUUUCUAUGCAGUGCAUAUAUAGUAUUUACUUUAUUGACUGUGUAUGCACACUAAAGACUAAAGUAAGUAUAUCAGAAUUUACUGAAGAGUGGAAUAUAAUUAGAAGCAUCAAAUGAAUUUCUGGGGAUAAGAUGUGAAAAGCACAUGAUGCCUUAAAACUUUCAUGUUUUAUUCCUUUUGCACCAGAUUCUUAAACUGCAAGCAAGCAUUAAAGAAUCUUGGAAUGCAAAAGUCAACUAGAUUGAAGACAAGCAUGACCAAAUAAUGAGGUGUUAGUCACAUUCACUUCAGAGUCUCAAAGUCACGUCUUGACGCUGCUUUGUGCUUAUUUCAGAGACACAAAAGUUUGGACCAGUGACAAAGAUGGGACAGUGACUAUUGAAACAUGAACUAAAGGAAGAAUCAGGAGAUAUGAAGCUGAAGGGUGUGGGGAGCAGCAGAGACCUUUCACCUCCUGGAUUCAGCCAUGUGUUGUGCGAACUUGAUCAAGUCACUUUUUCGAGUUUCCUUUUCUACACCUAUGAAAAAGCUGAUGGAAAUACAAAGCACACGAGGUUAUUGCCAUUAAGCACUGGCACUUGGACUGGAUAUUCAAGUUAGGACAUCACUCUACCCACACCUGUGAAGAGCAGAAGCCUCUGGCUGUGCUACCUUAUGUCUAUCUGGCUACUUAUAUGUCUAUCAGAAUUUUAUUUAAUGCCCUUGUGAUGCUGAAUCCCGUUUCUUGAGAUCUGGAAGCUGAAAUGAGUAAUACAGGAGAAGAUUCCUCCUUUUAUGUAGUUUUUUGUUUCCUCUAUGGGGAAAAUCUGUGAAUAAAAUAGGUUCUGUUAAUGCUAAGAGCUACAAAGAAAAUAAGUACCAGAUGAUGUGAUGAAAGUCCAGUCUGAGGCAGCAUGUGUGCAUGUGCACAUGCAUGUGGUGUGCAUGUGCUGCAAUGUGUUGGACUCCGUCAAACAGGGAAUGGUAGUGAGCUGAGUCCUGAAUAUCAGCUCAUCAUUUCCAAUCAGGGAAACCAGAGAUUAGGAGGCACAGCAUGAUUGGAUCAGGCUCAGUGCCGUGCCUUUCCAAAGGUACAUAGACUGACCAGCAAGCUGCCUUUAGGGAGAUGAAGUAGGCAGUGCUGGUCAGUCUUUGGGAUUGAGAACUAAGAAAGAGGAAGAGAACUUUCACCGGGCAGAAGUGAUUGAAGAGGCUGUGUGCAGACUAAAAGAUCUGGAUUAUCAGAAAGUAAGAACAGGCUAAGGAAGUCAGAUGGGCCUCCAUCUGGCAUCCAACUGGAUAUCAGAAUAAUGAUCCAUGGCGUUUUGUUACUGGUGUGGCUCGUGGAACUGCUGAAAGACUGAACAGGCUGGAAUGUCUCAUCUGGAAGAUGUGCGUCCUGCCAAGGACACGUGUUCCUCAUUUUCCCUGAAUUUCAGUUAAUUUUUCAUAGUAUAUCAGAAAAUGUUAAACUGUGGCAGGAAGUUCAAGAUGCAGCAGAUGAAGAACAUCAGUCUUCUUGUGGGCUGCCAGUGCAUGUGGAGACACAGCCAGAUACACCCCUCUGAUCCAGCUGCAACCGUCAGAAGGCUUACUUCCUGGAGACAGUCAGCAUAGGCAAGGACACAGAGACAGUGAAAACUGCCAGUGAAGACAACUAUGAAUGUGGUGUGCUGCAAGAUGCAGGUGACUGUGUUGGGACAGCUAAUGAACAGUAAGGAACACAGGAAUCAGAAGGCGAGGGAAAUGAACAAAUUGUAGCUGAGAGCCCUGUUAUUGACCUUGGCAGUGAUAGUGUCUUUGUGCUUUACAAAAAGGCCAAGGACAGCAGCUGUGAGAGCAGUGAGACUCAGAGCUGUGCUGGCCAGCAUCUUCCCCAUGAGGUCUUCAUGAGCCAGGAAAGUCACAGACUUUCAGAGGCAUUGGUUUUGCUGUAUUAUGGCAUAUUUGUCAUCAGGGCACUUCAUACAGUGCUCCAUAUCUACUGAGAAAUUCAAAUUGUCAUUAGCUGAAGUUCAUUAAUUUUCUUUUUUUUUUUUUUUUGGUCUUUUUCAUUUUUAUCGGUACCAGGGAUCGAACUCACGACCGCCUGCUUGCAAGGCAGGUGCUUAUGCCACUGAGCUAAACCUCCAGCCCCCCAUUAAUUUUCCCCACUCACUCAACUGUUCAUAGACUUUCACAGGUCUUCCUAAUAAAAAUUGUGUUAUUUUGUUUCUGUUUAAUGUUUGUUUUUAAUUUAAAAAAUUUAUUUCCAUUUAUAGACAAGAAUCUUCAAUGAAAGUUUUACCUGUUACAUCAACUCUCCUUUCAAUUUUUUUACAUUUUGAAAUAAUCUUAAUCACAGCGUUGUCCAGGCUGCACUCAAGUUUGUGAUACUUUUGUCUCAGCCUCCUGGAGUGCCUGUAUUCCUGGUCUACAUCAACAUGCCCAGAUUUUCAUUUGAUUUUCUAGACACCGAGAAAAGGAAUGUUAUAUUGACAGUAUUUCCCUAUCAAUCUUUCCCUUUACAGUUCUAUACUUUUAAAGAACAAUAAAGUAUAUACCUAUCUAUAGCUAA